RNAcentral lists this unclassified non-coding RNA (305 nucleotides) under plant metagenome. Its description in RNAcentral is "partial contains 5.8S ribosomal RNA, internal transcribed spacer 2, and large subunit ribosomal RNA". The stretch from base 1 to 105 matches the Rfam family "5.8S ribosomal RNA", at positions 50 to 154 of the family's 154-position model. The record is from RNAcentral.
GAAAUGCGAUAAGUAAUGUGAAUUGCAGAAUUCAGUGAAUCAUCGAAUCUUUGAACGCACAUUGCGCCCCUUGGUAUUCCGAGGGGCAUGCCUGUUCGAGCGUCAUUACACCACUCAAGCUAUGCUUGGUAUUGGGUGCCGUCCUUAGUUGGGCGCGCCUUAAAGACCUCGGCGAGGCCUCACCGGCUUUAGGCGUAGUAGAAUUUAUUCGAACGUCUGUCAAAGGAGAGGACUUCUGCCGACUGAAACCUUUUAUUUUUCUAGGUUGACCUCGGAUCAGGUAGGGAUACCUGCUGAACUUAAGC